AUAUUUAACAUUUCUUCUUCAUUAUGUAGAAUGACUAGUUCUGAAAACGAACGUUUCUCCGUCUCCGGAGUGCUAUUUAUAUCCGGUCACUACUCAUCAUUCAUCCAUACUGUGUGUCCCCCAUGAUUGCAGGUCACUGAUACUCGCACCUGAUGUGGAAGUUGUCGAACCAGAUUAGAACGCCUUCGAAGAAAGACCACCUUCAGGCACGGACUGAGGUUUUUGACCAGGUGAGACUGAACAUGGACAGGGCGCAUGAGAAGGAGAGCCACCUGAGAAGGAGAGCCACCUGAGAAGGAGAGCCACCUGAGAAGGAGAGCCACCUGAGAAGGAGAGCCACCUGAGAAGGAGAGCCACCUGAGAAGAAUCAAGGCGAUCAAGUGCUUCGACAUCUGGGUGAAUGACUUGGCUUGGAAGAAGCACGAAAGGAAGGCGAGACCUGGGAAAGCUUGGUGCUCUUUCGCUCCUAGCUGGGGUCAACAUCCGUUAAGGGACCAUCCCUUAUAACCCCACUGACAUCAAAUUAGACAGGAGCUACGGAUUCUGCCUAGAACACCCAGACAUGGAUCCACCUGAUGUUCUCCAUUAUCAACCACCCUCCAACUUUUCAUUACAUCAGCUACUGUUAUUGUCAAGUUGUCAUUAUCUGCUAAUAAAUAGCAAGAACACUAAAGUACUAGACACAUAAUGUGAGAUGCACAGAUUAG
Molecule: long non-coding RNA, 707 nt
Organism: Salmo salar (Atlantic salmon)
Lineage: Eukaryota; Metazoa; Chordata; Actinopteri; Salmoniformes; Salmonidae
Source: RefSeq, a predicted model, not a curated record